Molecule: ribosomal RNA, 457 nt
Filed under: uncultured bacterium
Lineage: Bacteria
Description: partial 16S ribosomal RNA
Rfam family: Bacterial small subunit ribosomal RNA
Source: RNAcentral
CCUACGGGAGGCAGCAGUGGGGAAUAUUGCACAAUGGGGGAAACCCUGAUGCAGCGACGCCGCGUGAGUGAAGAAGUAUUUCGGUAUGUAAAGCUCUACCAGCAGGGAAGAAAUAAAGUCCUUCGGACUUUGGACGGUACCUGACUAAGAAGCCCCGGCUAACUACGUGCCAGCAGCCGCGGUAAUACGUAGGGGGCAAGCGUUAUCCGGAUUUACUGGGCGGAAAGGGAGCGUAGACGGUGCAGCAAGUCUGAUGUGAAAGGUCGGGGCCCAACCCCGGGACUGAAUUGGAAACUGUUGAACUGGAGUGCAGGAGAGGUAAGUGGAAUUCCUAGUGUAGCGGUGAAAUGCGUAGAUAUUAGGAGGAACACCAGUGGCGAAGGCGGCUUACUGGACUGUAACUGACGUUGAGGCUCGAAAGCGUGGGGAGCAAACAGGAUUAGAUACCCUAGUAGUC